Molecule: ribosomal RNA, 2562 nt
Filed under: Escherichia coli
Lineage: Bacteria; Pseudomonadati; Pseudomonadota; Gammaproteobacteria; Enterobacterales; Enterobacteriaceae
Description: partial 23S ribosomal RNA
Rfam family: Bacterial large subunit ribosomal RNA
Source: RNAcentral
GUACACAAAAAUGCACAUGCUGUGAGCUCGAUGAGUAGGGCGGGACACGUGGUAUCCUGUCUGAAUAUGGGGGGACCAUCCUCCAAGGCUAAAUACUCCUGACUGACCGAUAGUGAACCAGUACCGUGAGGGAAAGGCGAAAAGAACCCCGGCGAGGGGAGUGAAAAAGAACCUGAAACCGUGUACGUACAAGCAGUGGGAGCACGCUUAGGCGUGUGACUGCGUACCUUUUGUAUAAUGGGUCAGCGACUUAUAUUCUGUAGCAAGGUUAACCGAAUAGGGGAGCCGAAGGGAAACCGAGUCUUAACUGGGCGUUAAGUUGCAGGGUAUAGACCCGAAACCCGGUGAUCUAGCCAUGGGCAGGUUGAAGGUUGGGUAACACUAACUGGAGGACCGAACCGACUAAUGUUGAAAAAUUAGCGGAUGACUUGUGGCUGGGGGUGAAAGGCCAAUCAAACCGGGAGAUAGCUGGUUCUCCCCGAAAGCUAUUUAGGUAGCGCCUCGUGAAUUCAUCUCCGGGGGUAGAGCACUGUUUCGGCAAGGGGGUCAUCCCGACUUACCAACCCGAUGCAAACUGCGAAUACCGGAGAAUGUUAUCACGGGAGACACACGGCGGGUGCUAACGUCCGUCGUGAAGAGGGAAACAACCCAGACCGCCAGCUAAGGUCCCAAAGUCAUGGUUAAGUGGGAAACGAUGUGGGAAGGCCCAGACAGCCAGGAUGUUGGCUUAGAAGCAGCCAUCAUUUAAAGAAAGCGUAAUAGCUCACUGGUCGAGUCGGCCUGCGCGGAAGAUGUAACGGGGCUAAACCAUGCACCGAAGCUGCGGCAGCGACACUGUGUGUUGUUGGGUAGGGGAGCGUUCUGUAAGCCUGCGAAGGUGUGCUGUGAGGCAUGCUGGAGGUAUCAGAAGUGCGAAUGCUGACAUAAGUAACGAUAAAGCGGGUGAAAAGCCCGCUCGCCGGAAGACCAAGGGUUCCUGUCCAACGUUAAUCGGGGCAGGGUGAGUCGACCCCUAAGGCGAGGCCGAAAGGCGUAGUCGAUGGGAAACAGGUUAAUAUUCCUGUACUUGGUGUUACUGCGAAGGGGGGACGGAGAAGGCUAUGUUGGCCGGGCGACGGUUGUCCCGGUUUAAGCGUGUAGGCUGGUUUUCCAGGCAAAUCCGGAAAAUCAAGGCUGAGGCGUGAUGACGAGGCACUACGGUGCUGAAGCAACAAAUGCCCUGCUUCCAGGAAAAGCCUCUAAGCAUCAGGUAACAUCAAAUCGUACCCCAAACCGACACAGGUGGUCAGGUAGAGAAUACCAAGGCGCUUGAGAGAACUCGGGUGAAGGAACUAGGCAAAAUGGUGCCGUAACUUCGGGAGAAGGCACGCUGAUAUGUAGGUGAAGUCCCUCGCGGAUGGAGCUGAAAUCAGUCGAAGAUACCAGCUGGCUGCAACUGUUUAUUAAAAACACAGCACUGUGCAAACACGAAAGUGGACGUAUACGGUGUGACGCCUGCCCGGUGCCGGAAGGUUAAUUGAUGGGGUCAGCGCAAGCGAAGCUCUUGAUCGAAGCCCCGGUAAACGGCGGCCGUAACUAUAACGGUCCUAAGGUAGCGAAAUUCCUUGUCGGGUAAGUUCCGACCUGCACGAAUGGCGUAAUGAUGGCCAGGCUGUCUCCACCCGAGACUCAGUGAAAUUGAACUCGCUGUGAAGAUGCAGUGUACCCGCGGCAAGACGGAAAGACCCCGUGAACCUUUACUAUAGCUUGACACUGAACAUUGAGCCUUGAUGUGUAGGAUAGGUGGGAGGCUUUGAAGUGUGGACGCCAGUCUGCAUGGAGCCGACCUUGAAAUACCACCCUUUAAUGUUUGAUGUUCUAACGUUGACCCGUGAUCCGGGUUGCGGACAGUGUCUGGUGGGUAGUUUGACUGGGGCGGUCUCCUCCUAAAGAGUAACGGAGGAGCACGAAGGUUGGCUAAUCCUGGUCGGACAUCAGGAGGUUAGUGCAAUGGCAUAAGCCAGCUUGACUGCGAGCGUGACGGCGCGAGCAGGUGCGAAAGCAGGUCAUAGUGAUCCGGUGGUUCUGAAUGGAAGGGCCAUCGCUCAACGGAUAAAAGGUACUCCGGGGAUAACAGGCUGAUACCGCCCAAGAGUUCAUAUCGACGGCGGUGUUUGGCACCUCGAUGUCGGCUCAUCACAUCCUGGGGCUGAAGUAGGUCCCAAGGGUAUGGCUGUUCGCCAUUUAAAGUGGUACGCGAGCUGGGUUUAGAACGUCGUGAGACAGUUCGGUCCCUAUCUGCCGUGGGCGCUGGAGAACUGAGGGGGGCUGCUCCUAGUACGAGAGGACCGGAGUGGACGCAUCACUGGUGUUCGGGUUGUCAUGCCAAUGGCACUGCCCGGUAGCUAAAUGCGGAAGAGAUAAGUGCUGAAAGCAUCUAAGCACGAAACUUGCCCCGAGAUGAGUUCUCCCUGACUCCUUGAGAGUCCUGAAGGAACGUUGAAGACGACGACGUUGAUAGGCCGGGUGUGUAAGCGCAGCGAUGCGUUGAGCUAACCGGUACUAAUGAACCGUGAGGCUUAA